UACGUAGGCAGCGAGCGUUGUUCGGAGUUACUGGGCGUAAAGAGUGCGUAGGCGGGCAGGUAAGUCCGUGGUGAAAUCUCUGAGCUUAACUCAGAAACUGCCAUGGAUACUAUUUGUCUUGAAUGUUGUGGAGGUAAGCGGAAUAUGUCAUGUAGCGGUGAAAUGCUUAGAUAUGACAUAGAACACCCAUUGCGAAGGCAGCUUACUACACAAAUAUUGACGCUGAGGCACGAAAGCGUGGGGAUCAAACAGG
This 253-nucleotide ribosomal RNA is filed under the name uncultured bacterium. RNAcentral describes it as "partial 16S ribosomal RNA". It matches the Rfam family "Bacterial small subunit ribosomal RNA", at positions 524 to 776 of the family's 1533-position model. The record is from RNAcentral.